CCUACGGGCGGCAGCAGUGAGGAAUAUUGGUCAAUGGCCGGAAGGCUGAACCAGCCAUGCCGCGUGAAGGUCAGUGCCCUAUGGGCGUUAAACUUCUUUUGUGCGGGAGCAAUAAUGGUCACGUGUGGCCAGACGAGAGUACCGUACGAAUAAGCAUCGGCUAACUCCGUGCCAGCAGCCGCGGUAAUACGGGGGAUGCAAGCGUUAUCCGGAUUUAUUGGGUUUAAAGGGUGCGUAGGCUGUGAGGUAAGUCAGCGGUGAAAUGCCCCCGCUCACCGGGGUGAAGUGCCAUUGAUACUGCCUGGCUGGAAUGCGGAUGCCGUGGGAGGAAUGUGUGGUGUAGCGGUGAAAUGCAUAGAUAUCACACAGAACACCGAUUGCGAAGGCAUCUCACGAAUCCGCGAUUGACGCUGAUGCACGAAAGCGUGGGUAUCAAACAGGAUUAGAUACCCGAGUAGUC
RNAcentral lists this ribosomal RNA (460 nucleotides) under uncultured bacterium. Its description in RNAcentral is "partial 16S ribosomal RNA". It matches the Rfam family "Bacterial small subunit ribosomal RNA", at positions 338 to 795 of the family's 1533-position model. The record is from RNAcentral.